UUAACAUUAAAAAACAGAGGAUAAAACUGAGAAAUGGUACCACAAGAAUAAGACUAAGUUCUGAAAGGAAAAACAUUAAAUAAGGUGAGCCACAGGGUUUGGUUCUUGGCCCACUCCACUUCUCAACCUAAAUAUAUGAUUUACCUGGGACACUGGGCUACUCUUCAAAGACUAUGGUAUUUGCUGAUGGGGUUAAAAUACCAGCAAGACACCCAAACACAUCCAUAUGAUGCACAGCUAUGAGAAUCAUGGAACAAGUUUACAACUAACGGAUCCAUAGCAAAUAAUUAAACCCUUAAUCUGGUGAAAACCCAUACAACGCAAUUCCAAACAAAGAAAAAUGGCGUACAAGUACUGGAAGUAGUGAUGAAUGGACAUACAAUGGAUGUGGCUCCAUGUGUGAAACUACUGGGCAUCUAAUAAACUGAGGUGGCACCAGCACAUGGAUAAGGUGACUGUUGAUACCAAUGGAAGUGAACUUGAACUGCUGUCAAAGGUACCACAUAGUGUGAAAGACACCCAACAAAAAGAUAAAACUUCAUUAUGUAAAGGUAUGAUCCUUGUUUCAGUGAGGAAGAAACUGGCUUUACUUCACGACAGAGAGCAUUCAUUGUCAUUAAAUACAUUACAUGUGUCAGUUAUGCAGUGAAUCAAAAUGUCUUCACAGAAAACUACAGUAACCAUGCAUCUAAGUUCACCAUCUGGUGGCAAUAUGAAAAGUUUCAAAAGAAAGGAAAUGUGGCAAACAUUGCCAAAAUCAGUUGACAUCAGAAAAGUUGAUCUGUGUGUAAGCUGCAUAUUCAUCAAGUUCUAUGAAGUCUGUGCAGCACCUAUCUAGGCAGUCUGGUCUCACCAUUGGUAGUGCACACAAAUGUGAGCAAGUGCAUAAGCAUCCAUUCAAACAGAACACAUACUGUUCAUGAGUGGCUACCUGUCAUUAGUUCAUUUGGU
Schistocerca serialis cubense is the source of this 951-nucleotide long non-coding RNA. RefSeq lists it as uncharacterized. The record is from RefSeq and is a predicted model, not a curated record. The transcript is spliced from 3 exons. Lineage: Eukaryota; Metazoa; Arthropoda; Insecta; Orthoptera; Acrididae.